CACGUAGGGGACGAGCGUUGUCCGGAUUCAUUGGGCGUAAAGCGCGCGUAGGCGGCUCGGAAAGUCGGUCGUGAAAUGCCGGGGCUCAACCCCGGGACUGCGUCCGAUACUUCCGGGCUGGAGGUAGGUAGGGGAGAUCGGAAUUCCUGGUGUAGCGGUGAAAUGCGCAGAUAUCAGGAGGAACACCGGUGGCGAAGGCGGAUCUCUGGGCCUUACCUGACGCUGAGGCGCGAAAGCUAGGUGACAUCAAACCGG
This 255-nucleotide ribosomal RNA is filed under the name uncultured bacterium. RNAcentral's name for it is "partial 16S ribosomal RNA". It matches the Rfam family "Bacterial small subunit ribosomal RNA", at positions 524 to 776 of the family's 1533-position model. The record is from RNAcentral.